ACUCAACAAGCUCUAACUGCAGUGAAUUAAAUAGACCACAUUUUUUUUUUUUUUUUGUAAAAAUAAUGAUUGUAUUUCAGUCUGUUUUCUGUCGUCCUGCAAUUUAUCUGUUCAGCAUUAGUUUCAUGUAAUAGGCUUAUAGGCUACAGCUGCUAAUGUUACAAUCUUUACAUGGUCCCAUUCAACGGGUCCGGUUAAAGUCUAAAAAUUCAGAACAAAAUUUAAAGAACUUUUAGUUCUUUACUUUAAAAAAUGUUGCGUAACAUUUAAUGUUGCCUAAUGUUGUUGGCCAUGUAUGCCUUAGAUAUUCUCAUUUAAUAUAAAAAUUGUUGUUGUUAUCGAUAUAAGCUUUAUAUAUCUUAAGCCAUUUUUUUAAAGAAGUUCACAGGUUUUUAAAAGAAGUAUCGAUAUGUAUGUAUGUCUGCAUAAACUUGAUCAGUCUCAUGUCUGUCCUCUUCAAGAUAUCUGAGAACCAAACAUCGCAUUGCAUUCAAAUUUUAAGACGUCAUUCCUCAUUAUCUCAUGUAGGAGAGAAGUGGGGCAAAACCUGUAUCUCCGUAAUGAUCCUAGUAGGAACCGAAUUGGGGACGAUGAUUGUAUUAUCGUCUCCAAUUUAGUUCCUGAUGGCCCAAAAUGAUGGUUUAAAGGUAGUUUGUGAGUUCUCUGUUAGAUUCCAGCGGUCAUCACGGAGAUAGAUGUAUCGGUUUUGCCCACUCUCCCCUAUUGUUUUGUUUAUUAAUUUUGUUCUCGGUGGUCUCCUUAUGAGAUGGCGACAGUUCGUAACAUUAAAAUGUGGAUGUUUACAAAACUACGUCUCAGUAAUAUGUUCAUAUAAAACUAUUUUAGAUAUAUAUAUUCUUUGUAGCACUUUUGAAAACUUUUCAUAGCCUAAAAAUAUUUGUAACAUUUAAUUGCAAUUUUUCGAUAGCCCAAAUCUAAAAAUAAAAACUCACAAGAUGGAAACCGAGUUAGUAUAUGCAAUUGUAUAUUAAAUGAGCGGCAAAAAACAUUAGCUGGUAGGCUAAAUGAAAAAUUAAAUGUAUAAAAUGCAAAAAAUAAACCGUUUGUGUGCCACAAGCUGUUUUUUAAGGAUCGAUCCAGAUAUUUUCGACGAAUGCUGGAGGCCAAAAACUAAAAAACACUACUAGAAGCUUUUAACAAUUUAAUUUAACUAAAAAAAUAGCUUGUUCAACUUAUUAAUGUCAAUAAUUGUUAAUAAGAUAAAAAAAUUCGUAGUUCAGAAAAAAUAUUGCCCGAAUAUAUUCUUAUGGUAAUGUUAUGUUAUGUUAUGAAUGUUAUGUUCUUAAUAUGAAAACUGUAAUGAUUUUUAUAAAACUAUCCUCCAUUUGCCUAAAUUUAAAGGCAGUAUUUAAACUUUAAACAUUAUCUAUAAUGUUUGAAUUGAAAUAUUGUUCUUGGCGGAAUCCACUUAGAUGGAUUAAUAGAAUUGAUUGAAUCGAGAGAGCAAAUUGUAUCGAAUCCUUAACGAUUUCAAAAUUGAUUUAAGAUUGCAGUAUAUUCUCAUCGAACGUUUUAAUCUAACGUCACAUUUAAUAGUUUUGAUGCUUUUGCCAUUUCUGGUGGUAGAAUCGGUUAAGAACGAACAUUUAUUGUUUUCUGGUGGAGAAUUAUGUUCGGUAAUUCUAGUGGUAGCAUCCAAACUUUACGUCUGAGUACCUUUAGAGACGAUUUUUGUUUGUUCCGCUUCUUGAUUUUCUUGUUAACUCUGUUAUUACAUAAAAGUGAUGCGGGAAUUAAACUUUAUCCACUUUUUGAACAUUUAUUCUAGCAUGAAUUUUGUUAACGCAAUAUGAAAUGUUGAUCGCAUUCAGAAAAAAAAAAUCCCGUUAAAUUUUAAAAUUGUUUUAGCUCAAACUUUUAAAAAUGUAACAGGUUAAAAUGAGUAGAGAGGGAGAUUAUGGGUAGAGUAUUAUAGAAUAGAGAGAGAGAGAGUGAGUGAUCGUUUCGCUUUUCUUACACUAAAAUAAGUUACAGUAAAACUUUCGAGGUUAAAAUAAUGGCAUUUUUUAUUUCCAAUACGGUAGUUGGUCCAUUUGUUGGUAUAGUCUGAUCGAUGUUAGUGUGGAUCUUGUAGAAGUCCAGUAGAGAAAGGAAGAAAGAGGAUGCACGUGAUCCAAUCGAACAUCCGGGCCAGGACAAUGGAUGCUCUGCAGGUAGCCAAUGCUAGAGAGAUCGAUAUUCGCCUAAGCAGUACUUGUUGUCUUUAAGCGCACUUGGCGAAUUUGGCUGUCCCUCGAGUGUCAUUGUCUUCAAAUCCGUACAUACGCCUCUUCAUUUUAUCUCGUAAAAAUACUCGUUCAUAAGAACCGCCCGCAUUUUAAAAGCUGAAAAGGUUCGAUAAGAAUCACGAUUCAAAAAGAAAAAAAAUAAAAAUAUGGGCCGCUCCAAAAAUCUUAACACACAAUUUUCUAUGCAGGAAAAAUGUUCACUGUUUCCAUUAAAAAAUAUAUAUAUAUGAGAUUCAAAUACC
RNAcentral lists this long non-coding RNA (2491 nucleotides) under Androctonus crassicauda. Lineage: Eukaryota; Metazoa; Arthropoda; Arachnida; Scorpiones; Buthidae. The record is from RNAcentral.